AUUAACGCUGGCAGUGUGUAUAAUACAUGCAAGUCGAGUGCAUUUAGGUGCACGGCAGACGGGUGAGUAAUACGUUGGUACCUGCCCCGAAGUGAGGGAUAACCCCGCGAAAGCGGGGGUAAUACCGCAUGUGCUCGCAAGAGUAAAGCCUUGUGCGCUUCGGGAGGGGCCUGCGCAGUAUCAGCUAGUUGGUGAGGUAAUGGCUCACCAAGGCUAUGACGCUUAGCUGGUCUGAGAGGAUGAUCAGCCACAAUGGAACUGAGACACGGUCCAUACUCCUACGGGAGGCAGCAGUAAAGAAUCUUCCGCAAUGGGCGAAAGCCUGACGGAGCAACACUGCGUGGAGGAUGAAGGCCUUCGGGUUGUAAACUCCUUUUCUGGGGGAAGAAGUUCUGACGGUACCCCAGGAAUAAGCGACGGCUAACUACGU
RNAcentral lists this ribosomal RNA (430 nucleotides) under uncultured bacterium. RNAcentral describes it as "bacterial SSU rRNA". It matches the Rfam family "Bacterial small subunit ribosomal RNA", at positions 29 to 506 of the family's 1533-position model. The record is from RNAcentral.